CACUGGGUUAGAUAUUCUCACUUUCAUCCCAGAUUCACUUCCUUUCCUUCUCUGCCCACUAGAAAGGCUGACUGCUAUAAGCUGUAUAGAUCACAUCAUAAGACUGUCUUUUUCCUCUGGCUUCUUGUAUAUUUUGGCAGUGGAGAGCUCAAUAAGAGAAACAUUGGGCAUUUAUUCAUUCUUCCUUCCAGAACCCUCCCUGAUGUGUUAUGAAUGUGCCAGUAGCUGGGUUAUUUUAUUUAGGACCAAAGUGAUAACCGAGUUGCCUCUCUCACAAGGUUGCAACACCAGCCAUGUUCAUGGAAUCCAAUUGUCUUCUGUGGCCAUUCAAACCUAGGGACAAUUGAGACUUUUCACAUUUUCUCAUCCCUAAGUGUUUCACCAGCACUUGCUAAUUUUCUUACCUGGGAAAUAAAUCCCUUCAUUAGUUUCUCUUCAUGUAACCAUUUUGUGUAUGCCUUCUUUCCUUUGGGACCCUGAUUGCUAUGCCCCUCCCACUUCCAAGUUUUUGUUUUGUAACUCUCCUUGGUCAGUCAACAUCACUGAACAUUCAUGUGCCAGACACAGUUUUGUAAUGAGUACCCCCAUUUUUAUAAGAGAUAAUGUAUUUUUUCUCUUUUCUUUUUUCCCUACUUCCUACUUAGCUCUUUAGACAUGCAAUUAUAACCUUUUACCUUCCUUUUUCCAGACACUCCCUACAGGGCAAGUUCAUCUAACUAUGUGCUUAGAAGCUCCAGAGCAGAACUCCCUCUCACCAGGAGAUCACCUCGAGAGACAACAGUCAAUGUACAACCUGAAGUGCCUGCUACAAAACUGUCUCCCACCAGGAGAGUUUUGGCCACGUUUACAACCUAGUUCUGCCCAUGAAGGCACCAGCUGUCACCAGCUCAACCACGCAGUAGAUUAGGCACUGCAGUGAGUUACAUGACCCCACCUGCAUUUCCCUCCCCUGUGAGCCAUUCAUGCCAAGAUGCCUUUUAAAAGUGCCUGCUUUCUGCUCCAAAAGUAAGCAGUACUCUUAAGGCAGGAAGCCUAUACUUCUUCCCUUAAGCUAGCUUUGGAAUAAAAAGUCACUUUCUUUAUACUAGAACUUGCUCUUGUGAAUUGGACUCGGCAGGUGGCAAGUGACUGAAUCUGCAUUUUGGUUACAGUAUAAGGCAUUGGCGACUCACUGACAAACAAGUUGCACUUCCUGAAGAGAGUGUGCAACUAUGGUCCACUGAAAGAGACAUCCAGAAAGUGGCUGUCAAUGACAGAAGUGAGAAAUAAGACUGCAGGACUUACUUAGAAGCCACAUUUUUCUUCUGGUCCAUAAACUGUGAAUCUUUGUAUGGUUUGCAAAACCAACGACCCCAGAGGUCAAGCAGG
This 1368-nucleotide long non-coding RNA is filed under the name Homo sapiens (human). Its description in RNAcentral is "HSALNT0378148". Lineage: Eukaryota; Metazoa; Chordata; Mammalia; Primates; Hominidae. The record is from RNAcentral.